RNAcentral lists this ribosomal RNA (249 nucleotides) under uncultured bacterium. Its description in RNAcentral is "partial 16S ribosomal RNA". It matches the Rfam family "Bacterial small subunit ribosomal RNA", at positions 107 to 354 of the family's 1533-position model. The record is from RNAcentral.
UGAGUAACACGUAUGCAACCUGCCUGCCACAGCCGGAUAAUCGGGAGAAAUUCCGUCUAAUACGGCAUAAUGCAUCGACGGGACAUCCUGUUGGUGCCAAAGGUUGAUUCCGGUGGCGGAUGGGCAUGCGUCGCAUUAGUUAGUUGGCGGUGUAACGGACCACCAAGACGACGAUGCGUAGGGGUUCUGAGAGGAAGGUCCCCCACACUGGAACUGAGACACGGUCCAAACUCCUACGGAAGGCAGCAG